This 782-nucleotide ribosomal RNA is filed under the name Phytophthora tropicalis. RNAcentral describes it as "eukaryotic LSU rRNA". It matches the Rfam family "Eukaryotic large subunit ribosomal RNA", at positions 39 to 648 of the family's 3401-position model. The record is from RNAcentral. Lineage: Eukaryota; Oomycota; Peronosporomycetes; Peronosporales; Peronosporaceae.
CAUAUCAAUAAGCGGAGGAAAAGAAACUAACAAGGAUUCCCCUAGUAACGGCGAGUGAAGCGGGAAGAGCUCAAGCUUAAAAUCUCCGUGCAAGUUUUGCGCGGCGAAUUGUAGUCUAUAGAGGCGUGGUCAGCGUGGGCGCUUGGGGCAAGUUCCUUGGAAGAGGACAGCAUGGAGGGUGAUACUCCCGUUCAUCCCUGAGUGGCUCGUGCGUACGACCCGUUUUCUUUGAGUCGCGUUGUUUGGGAAUGCAGCGCAAAGUAGGUGGUAAAUUCCAUCUAAAGCUAAAUAUUGGUGCGAGACCGAUAGCGAACAAGUACCGUGAGGGAAAGAUGAAAAGAACUUUGAAAAGAGAGUUAAAGAGUACCUGAAACUGCUGAAAGGGAACCGAAUCGUUUCCAGUGUCUAUAAUCCGUGGCAUAUUUCAUUGGCGAGCGUUUGCGUGCGUGUGCUGUGGCAGUGGCUUUUUUGGCUGCGCCUGGCGUGUGUGCUGUGAGUGUUUGCUGGUGCCCUGUGCUGCGGUGGGACGUCAAGGUCAGUUCGUAUGCUGCGGGAAAUGGCUGCCGAGGAGGUAGGGCUUACGCUCCGCGUUUGUCUGUUAUAUCUUGGUGGACGAGUCGUCGUGGUUGGGACUGAGGUGCCUACAACGUGCUUUUGAGUGGGUUUGUGUCUCCGUGUGCGCCGUGUGCGGAUAGCUUGCUAUGCGUGUGUGGUUGUGUGUGGAUUGAUGCGGGCCUUAACUUGUCGCCGUUCGGGACGUUGACGAAAUGGAGCGAUCCGAC